AACGAACGCUGGCGGCAAGCUUAACACAUGCAAGUCGAACGGGUGUAGCAAUACAUCAGUGGCAGACGGGUGAGUAACACGUGGGAACCUUCCUAGGGGUACGGAACAACUCAGGGAAACUUGAGCUAAUACCGUAUACGUCCGUGAGGAGAAAGAUUUAUCGCCCUUAGACGGGCCCGCGUCGGAUUAGCUAGUUGGUGGGGUAACGGCCUACCAAGGCGACGAUCCGUAGCUGAUCUUAGAGGAUGAUCAGCCACACUGGGACUGAGACACGGCCCAGACUCCUACGGGCGGCAGCAGUGGGGAAUCUUGGACAAUGGGCGCAAGCCUGAUCCAGCCAUGCCGCGUGAGUGAAGAAGGUCUUCGGAUUGUAAAGCUCUUUUGCCAGGGACGAUAAUGACGGUACCUGGAGAAUAAGCCCCGGCAAACUUCGUGCCAGCCGCCGCCGUAA
RNAcentral lists this ribosomal RNA (451 nucleotides) under uncultured bacterium. RNAcentral describes it as "partial 16S ribosomal RNA". It matches the Rfam family "Bacterial small subunit ribosomal RNA", at positions 29 to 523 of the family's 1533-position model. The record is from RNAcentral.